Molecule: unclassified non-coding RNA, 283 nt
Filed under: fungal sp.
Lineage: Eukaryota; Fungi
Description: partial internal transcribed spacer region
Rfam family: Eukaryotic small subunit ribosomal RNA (bases 1-46)
Source: RNAcentral
AAGUCGUAACAAGGUUUCCGUAGGUGAGCCUGCGGAAGGAUCAUUAACACGAAACCCACGUUUCAUACCAACCUGUGCUCUUGUAAACUUUUAAAAAAAAGAAGUGAUCGGACGACUGCAAGGAAGUUCGAUUGCCUCCUUUUUUUCUUGUACUAAACAAAAACCCCUUGUAUCAUUUAUUGACUGAACCUUUAGGAGUUCGAGUACCUACUUUUUAAGUGGGAGCUCGCUUCUGGAUAUACGAAACUCUGAACAACUCUAAGCAACGGAUAUCUUGGUUCUC